GUCGAGCGGACAGAAGGGAGCUUGCUCCCGGAUGUUAGCGGCGGACGGGUGAGUAACACGUGGGUAACCUGCCUGUAAGACUGGGAUAACUCCGGGAAACCGGAGCUAAUACCGGAUAGUUCCUUGAACCGCAUGGUUCAAGGAUGAAAGACGGUUUCGGCUGUCACUUACAGAUGGACCCGCGGCGCAUUAGCUAGUUGGUGAGGUAACGGCUCACCAAGGCGACGAUGCGUAGCCGACCUGAGAGGGUGAUCGGCCACACUGGGACUGAGACACGGCCCAGACUCCUACGGGAGGCAGCAGUAGGGAAUCUUCCGCAAUGGACGAAAGUCUGACGGAGCAACGCCGCGUGAGUGAUGAAGGUUUUCGGAUCGUAAAGCUCUGUUGUUAGGGAAGAACAAGUGCAAGAGUAACUGCUUGCACCUUGACGGUACCUAACCAGAAAGCCACGGCUAACUACGUGCCAGCAGCCGCGGUAAUACGUAGGUGGCAAGCGUUGUCCGGAAUUAUUGGGCGUAAAGGGCUCGCAGGCGGUUUCUUAAGUCUGAUGUGAAAGCCCCCGGCUCAACCGGGGAGGGUCAUUGGAAACUGGGAAACUUGAGUGCAGAAGAGGAGAGUGGAAUUCCACGUGUAGCGGUGAAAUGCGUAGAGAUGUGGAGGAACACCAGUGGCGAAGGCGACUCUCUGGUCUGUAACUGACGCUGAGGAGCGAAAGCGUGGGGAGCGAACAGGAUUAGAUACCCUGGUAGUCCACGCCGUAAACGAUGAGUGCUAAGUGUUAGGGGGU
Molecule: ribosomal RNA, 787 nt
Filed under: Bacillus sp. Y384
Lineage: Bacteria; Bacillati; Bacillota; Bacilli; Caryophanales; Bacillaceae
Also listed under: 1 other name
Description: bacterial SSU rRNA
Rfam family: Bacterial small subunit ribosomal RNA
Source: RNAcentral